CCUACGGGGGGCAGCAGUGGGGGAUAUUGCACAAUGGGGGAAACCCUGAUGCAGCGACGCCGCGUGUGGGAAGACGGUCCUCUGGAUUGUAAACCACUGUUCCCAGGGACGAAGAUGACGGAACCGGGGGAGGAAGCUCCGCCAAACAACGUCCCAGCAGCCGCGGUAAUACGUGGGGGGCGAGCGUUGUCCGGAAUUACUGGGUGAAAAGGGGGCGUAGGCGGGGUUGCAAGGUGGGUGUAAAAACUACCGGCUCAACUGGUAGUCGCACGCAAAACUGCAGCUCUUGAGUGAGGUAGAGGCAGGCGGAAUUCCUGGUGUAGCGGUGAAAUGCGUAGAUAUUAGGAGGAACACCAGUGGCGAAGGCGGCCUGCUGGGCUUUUACUGACGCUGAGGCUCGAAAGUGUGGGGAGCAAACAGGAUUAGAUACCCCUGUAGUC
Molecule: ribosomal RNA, 440 nt
Filed under: uncultured bacterium
Lineage: Bacteria
Description: partial 16S ribosomal RNA
Rfam family: Bacterial small subunit ribosomal RNA
Source: RNAcentral